GGCAGUUUGGCCUGCCGUUGGGGAUGACAGACAUACCCAACAAACUACUCCGUGGUGCUGCCUUUCCGAAAGGGGGUGGUAUUGAGCGACGAGAGAAAAGGUAGUAAUGUAACUAUCAAGU
Molecule: non-coding RNA, 121 nt
Organism: Leadbetterella byssophila DSM 17132
Lineage: Bacteria; Pseudomonadati; Bacteroidota; Cytophagia; Cytophagales; Leadbetterellaceae
Source: Rfam